UGGGGAAUUUUGGACAAUGGGGGCAACCCUGAUCCAGCAAUGCCGCGUGAGUGACGAAGGCCUUAGGGUUGUAAAACUCUUUCGUCGGGGACGAUAAUGACGGUACCCGAAGAAGAAGCUCCGGCUAACUUCGUGCCAGCAGCCGCGGUAAUACGAAGGGAGCUAGCGUUGUUCGGAAUCACUGGGCGUAAAGCGCACGUAGGCGGAUAGUUAAGUCAGGGGUGAAAUCCUGGGGCUCAACCCCAGAACUGCCUUUGAUACUGGCUGUCUCGAGGUCGAGAGAGGUUGGUGGAAUUCCUAGUGUAGAGGUGAAAUUCGUAGAUAUUAGGAAGAACACCAGUGGCGAAGGCGGCCAACUGGCUCGAUACUGACGCUGAGGUGCGAAAGCGUGGGGAGCAAACAGGAUUAGAUACCCCGGUAGUCCCUGAGCGGGCUGGCAAGGCGCAU
RNAcentral lists this ribosomal RNA (447 nucleotides) under uncultured bacterium. RNAcentral describes it as "bacterial SSU rRNA". It matches the Rfam family "Bacterial small subunit ribosomal RNA", at positions 355 to 825 of the family's 1533-position model. The record is from RNAcentral.